GGAUAAUUGGUGUAUUCUCCAAGAACUUAUAUGUGAUGAGUAAAACCGCCGUGUAAACACGCAACAGUUAUCUUACUGCUAUCUUUUUACACACUGCUUGGUUUACCAUUUAGUGAACUGUGCAACAUGUAUUGAGUGUUAGAGCCAUAGUAUGCAGCUUUCUCACUGUCCUGGAAGAAGAUAGUUCAGUCCAAGUUGUGCACCUGUGCAAAAUUUAGUACUGGAAUGCAGUGUUCUGUUUGACAGCUCAGAGGAUCUGUAGUAAUUUUUGCAAAUUGCUGCAUUUUUAAGCCA
Pelobates cultripes (western spadefoot toad) is the source of this 294-nucleotide non-coding RNA. The record is from the annotation of a GenBank genome assembly. NCBI's taxonomy places the organism in Eukaryota, Metazoa, Chordata, Amphibia, Anura, Pelobatidae.